Astatotilapia calliptera (eastern happy) is the source of this 60-nucleotide microRNA precursor. The record is from Ensembl. Lineage: Eukaryota; Metazoa; Chordata; Actinopteri; Cichliformes; Cichlidae.
UUCAAGUAAUCCAGGAUAGGCUGGUUAACACUGCACGGCCUAUUCUUGAUUACUUGUUUC